GCUUUGGGAGGAGCUCGCUUACUAUCAGCUUGUUGGUAGGGUAAUGGCCUACCAAGGCUAUGACGGUUAGGGGGUGUGAGAGCAUGACCCCCAGCAUUGGCACUGAAACACUGGCCAAACACCUACGGGUGGCUGCAGUCGAGAAUCUUCCACAAUGGGGGAAACCCUGAUGGAGCGAUGCUGCGUGCGGGAUGAAGGCCUUCGGGUUGUAAACCGCUUUUGUAGGGGACGAAAUUUUUGACGGUACCCUUUCGAAUAAGAGGUUGCUAACUCUGUGCCAGCAGCAGCGGUAAUACAGAGACCUCAAGCGUUAUCCGGAUUUACUGGGCGUAAAGCGUCUGUAGGGGGUUUAUUAAGUUCCAAGUAAAAUUUCAAGGCUCAACUUUGAAUUCGCUUGGAAAACCUAAUAAACUGGAGUCUAGCAGAGGUGCAUGGAACUUGUGGUGUAGGAGUUGAAAUCCGUUGAUAUCACAAGGAACACCAAAGGCGAAGGCAUUGCACUGGGCUAGCACUGACCCUGAGAGACGAAAGCGUGGGGAGCAAAACGGAUUAGAUACCCGUGUAGUCCACGCCCUAAACGAUGAAUGCUAAAUGUUCGGGGAUUCGACCCCCUGGGUGUUACAGCUAACGCGUUAAGCAUUCCGCCUGGGAAGUACGGCCGCAAGGCUAAAACUCAAAGGAAUAGACGGGGAUCCGCACAAGCGGUGGAGCAUGUGGUUUAAUUCGAUGCAACGCGAAGAACCUUACCUGGGCUUGAACUGCAGGUGCUAUCUCCUGAAAGGGAGUUUCCUUCGGGACGCCUGUAGAGGUGCUGCAUGGCUGUCGUCAGCUCGUGCUGUGAGGUGUUGGGUUAAGUCCCGCAACGAGCGCAACCCCUGUCCCUAGUUGCCAUCAGGUCAAGCUGGGAACUCUAGGGGGACUGCCCCGGAUAACGGGGAGGAAGGUGGGGAUGACGUCAAGUCAUCAUGGCCCUUACGUCCAGGGCUACACACGUGCUACAAUGGCCGGUACAACGGGUAGCGAGACAGCGAUGUGGAGCAAAUCCCUUAAAACCGGUCUCAGUUCAGAUUGCAGUCUGCAACCCGACUGCAUGAAGUUGGAAUCGCUAGUAAUCGCGGAUCAGCAUGCCGCGGUGAUACGCUCCCGGGCCUUGUACACACCGCCCGUCACGCCAUGGGAGUCGGUAGCACCCGAAGCCGGUGGCCCAAUCCUGCUUGCAGGAGGGGAGCCGUCGAAGGUGAG
RNAcentral lists this ribosomal RNA (1242 nucleotides) under uncultured organism. Its description in RNAcentral is "partial 16S ribosomal RNA". It matches the Rfam family "Bacterial small subunit ribosomal RNA", at positions 217 to 1466 of the family's 1533-position model. The record is from RNAcentral.